GUGAAGCUGGAUUCGCUAGUAAUCGCGCGUCAGCCAUGGCGCGGUGAAUACGUUCCCGGGCCUUGUACACACCGCCCGUCAAGCCAUGGGAGCCGGGGGCACUUGAAGUACGCCGCCGCGAGGAGCGUCCUAGAGUGAAACUGGUGACUGGGCUAAGUCGUAACAAGGUAUC
RNAcentral lists this ribosomal RNA (172 nucleotides) under uncultured bacterium. RNAcentral's name for it is "partial 16S ribosomal RNA". It matches the Rfam family "Bacterial small subunit ribosomal RNA", at positions 1320 to 1500 of the family's 1533-position model. The record is from RNAcentral.